CUACGUAGGGCGCAAGCGUUGUCCGGAAUUAUUGGGCGUAAAGAGCUCGUAGGCGGUCUGUUGCGUCCGCUGUGAAAACUCGGGGCUUAACCCCGAGCCUGCAGUGGAUACGGGCAGACUAGAGGUAGGUAGGGGAGAAUGGAAUUCCCGGUGUAGCGGUGAAAUGCGCAGAUAUCGGGAGGAACACCGGUGGCGAAGGCGGUUCUCUGGGCCUUACCUGACGCUGAGGAGCGAAAGCGUGGGGAGCGAACAGG
Molecule: ribosomal RNA, 254 nt
Filed under: uncultured bacterium
Lineage: Bacteria
Description: partial 16S ribosomal RNA
Rfam family: Bacterial small subunit ribosomal RNA
Source: RNAcentral